GGUUGCUUGGCAACCAGAGGGUGACAGUUUGAGGAGCUCAGGGAGCUUUGACAAUGUGACUUCAAGAUAGGUGAAGGACAGUAGGAGGCACUGAGUCUGCUGAAAGGAAUCGCAACAUGGAAGCAUCAUUUAAAUAAAGAUUCAUCUCUCUGUGUGAUGAUUCUAAGGAGGAGAAAACUGAAGUCUUGUCUGCCUAUUGUGUUGGGUAGCCUCUAAGGGACACACAAUGAUUCCUUGUGUCCUAGAUUGGAUGGGUAGAUGUCAAUGUCAAGUGACCAGAGAAAUCCCACGAGCAAAUUUAAAGAAAUGCCAUCAUCCAGACACAAUUAUUAUGUAUCAAGUAUUCAUUUUUCUAAUUGGAGUCAUAACUUGGAAACAUUCAACAUUGCAAUGAAUCCUAUGAACUGUAAUACUUGAAUACAUGACUUUAAAAUAAUUCAGAAUUUCAAUCAAUGUUUCUUUCUAGACUUAAACUGGGGCCUUCUGAGAUAACUGGUCAGCUGAGAAACUUUGUAGGCUUUAUGUCUUCCCUAAUCAUAAUUACAUUAGGACUUGUUUAAUCUCAGUUCCCAGGCAAGAUUUCUUUUCAGUGACUCACUUUACCAUUAGCUACGUGGAGAUGAUGACAAUGUACUUUUUUUCAGAUAAAGAGUUUUAGAAUUACUGUAUUUAUAGAAAAGUUGUAAAGGCAAUUCAAAGUUUCCAUGCUCCUUUUAUCACCUUAAUUUUUUCACUAGCAUCUAACAUUUGUUAAAACCAGUCAAAAGUAUUCAUGUUAUUAUUACUUACAGCUCCCAGAUUGCAGGGGCUGCUUAGACUUUCCUUGAUUGUGACAGUCUUGAAAGGUUUGACAAGCAUCAGUUACAUAUUUUGAAAGAUAUCUUUGGAUGGAGUCAUAGGCCUUUGUGCCCAUACGUGGAUUUUCUCUGUGCAUAGGAGAAGACAGGACAGAGCAGGGCUCCAUUUUCAUCAGAGCUUUCAGUGUCAGUGUUCAUUAUUUACACUCACUGGAAUUCCCUCACGUCUCUCCACCAAAGAACGUAUACUUUUGUGCCCCUUACAUAGGGAGGGGAAUCAGGGUGACAUCCAGGCUUCAGAAUGGAAGGUUCUAGACUCAGGAAGUUCCUUCACAUGCUUUGCAGUCAUUAUUGAUAGGGAAUGAAUCUUAAGCUUUCAUGUAAUUCUUCAUUUCAACAUCUACUAAUCAUGUUCAUUACUUUCUUGUUUUUGUGACCAAGCAUUUGAAAACAAACAAAAAACAAACAAACAAACAAACAAAAACAGCAUAAGGGAAAUUUUUUUGUAAGGUUUGAAAGCAUAGUUGAGGUAAGACAGUGGGU
RNAcentral lists this long non-coding RNA (1340 nucleotides) under Mus spicilegus (steppe mouse). RNAcentral describes it as "lncRNA (ENSMSIG00000008001.1)". The record is from RNAcentral. Lineage: Eukaryota; Metazoa; Chordata; Mammalia; Rodentia; Muridae.